AGUGAACGCUGGCGGUAGGCCUAACACAUGCCAGUCGAACGGCAGCACAGUAAGAGCUUGCUCUUACGGGUGGCGAGUGGCGGACGGGUGAGGAAUACAUCGGAAUCUACUUUUUCGUGGGGGAUAACGUAGGGAAACUUACGCUAAUACCGCAUACGACCUACGGUUGAAAGCAGGGGAUCUUCGGACCUUGCGCGAUUGAAUGAGCCGAUGUCGGAUUAGCUAGUUGGCGGGGUAAAUGCCCACCAAGGCGACGAUCCGUAGCUGGUCUGAGAGGAUGAUCAGCCACACUGGAAGUGAGACACGGUCCAGACUCCUACGGGAGGCAGCAGUGGGGAAUAUUGGACAAUGGGCGCAAGCCUGAUCCAGGCAUACCGCGUGGGUGAAGAAGGCCUUAGGGUUGUAAAGCCCUUUUGUUGGGAAAGAAGAGCAGCAGGUUAAUACCCCGCUGUUCUGACGGUACCCAAAGAAUAAGCACCGGCUAACUUCGUG
RNAcentral lists this ribosomal RNA (492 nucleotides) under uncultured bacterium. RNAcentral describes it as "partial 16S ribosomal RNA". It matches the Rfam family "Bacterial small subunit ribosomal RNA", at positions 29 to 507 of the family's 1533-position model. The record is from RNAcentral.